GAUGAACGCUGGCGGCGUGCCAAUACAUGCAAGUCGAGCGAACGGACGAGAAGCUUGCUUCUCUGAUGUUAGCGGCGGACGGGUGAGUAACACGUGGAUAACCUACCUAUAAGACUGGGAUAACUUCGGGAAACCGGAGCUAAUACCGGAUAAUAUUUUGAACCGCAUGGUUCAAAAGUAAAAGACGGUCUUGCUGUCACUUAUAGAUGGAUCCGCGCUGCAUUAGCUAGUUGGUAAGGUAACGGCUUACCAAGGCAACGAUGCAUAGCCGACCUGAGAGGGUGAUCGGCCACACUGGAACUGAGACACGGUCCAGACUCCUACGGGAGGCAGCAGUAGGGAAUCUUCCGCAAUGGGCGAAAGCCCGACGGAGCAACGCCGCGUGAGUGAUGAAGGUCUUCGGAUCGUAAAACUCUGUUAUUAGGGAAGAACAUAUGUGUAAGUAACUGUGCACAUCUUGACGGUACCUAAUCAGAAAGCCACGGCUAACUACGUG
RNAcentral lists this ribosomal RNA (496 nucleotides) under uncultured bacterium. Its description in RNAcentral is "partial 16S ribosomal RNA". It matches the Rfam family "Bacterial small subunit ribosomal RNA", at positions 28 to 507 of the family's 1533-position model. The record is from RNAcentral.